RNAcentral lists this long non-coding RNA (2789 nucleotides) under Salmo salar (Atlantic salmon). RNAcentral's name for it is "lncRNA (ENSSSAG00000109467.1)". The record is from RNAcentral. Lineage: Eukaryota; Metazoa; Chordata; Actinopteri; Salmoniformes; Salmonidae.
GUUUUAUUAAGCUUCUGCUUUCUCGAAUCUAAGGAAAGUGAUGACCUGUUCAGAAAGAGAAAACACUGCAUGUUGUGUAAUCUAGAUGGGACAUAAACCACACUUGGGUGAUCUUUAAAAUAGAUUUUAUUUACCAUUUGUAAUUGAACAGUUUACGAUAUACAGCUGACAUGACUAAGACAAUUCAAUGGAUUUUGGCCCCAAGGUACAAGAGACAUGGUUAGAUAUAUAUGAUAAAGUACCAGUACUGUGUUCAUUUCAUUUGUGCUUUAUUCUCCCUUAUGAUAGAAUUUACAUUGGCAUAACAUCAUGUCUACUCUGCUGACAGUGACAACAGUUUACUCAGACCAUUGUAAAGCCUUAUUUCAAAACGGAAGUUUGUAUUAUUAGAUAUGUUAUAAACACAUGACUUGAUUUAAAGUGCUGAAACAACUUGUAAAAACAUGUUUAUGAGUAAGAAAUUCAGACAUCUCUGUGAUUGUAGUGAAUCACAGAGCAGAUAAAUCAGUUUUAGUACAGUAAAAGCUUACUAUCCGUUUUCAGAAUUGCUAACAUUUAUUAAUUUCUUACAUUCCAUAUAUAGAAGCCUUUUACUACAGUGAUUUCAAUAUGAGGUGAUGAACAAUUUGUUUCUAUACAAUGUCACAAAUAUAUGAAUAUUCAUUCAAUGUGUCCUUUUACACUACCUGCUUAGGUUGAUCAUUUUAAUGGAAGGGUCUCACCAAAUGAUAAAAUGCCAAGUUAAUGAAAUAAUAGUCUCAGUGAUCAAAAAAGGAAGAAUAAGAUGAAAACAAAAUCACCCUUUCAUACAUAGUUCCCCAAUACAUUGAUAUUUUGAUCUUCUGUCAUGUAUUGUAUUUACAAUGUUAUUUAGUCUUUUAUUCAGAUCCCCAUUAGCUGAAGCAGCAGCUACUCUUCCUGGGGCCCAAGCAAUGUUGCUGAUUAUGGGGUUUGAUUUCCUUUUCUUUAUUUGCCACAUAAUGCUCGUAAACUACUCCUCCACCAAAUUGAAAAGGCCAGUCUGUUUACACAAAACAUUUACAGCACAGUUGCUAUAUUGUAAACAGAUGUGACUGCAGUACAGAACCACAGUGUUCACUUAAUACUGUUGGCAUUAUUACUAUGUAAAAUAGAUUAACACUUAUGUACUGUCCCCAAAAGUCAUGUAGCUGCAGACAUGUCAUGUACCUUCAACAGAACAUACUGGUCAAUGCAUUCCUUUGAAUUCAAGUUUCAACCCAAGCUUUUGUUUGGCAAUACUUUUGAUAUCAGCUGGCUUUUAGAACAAGAUGAAGGUAGUGUCACUGAACAUGGAUGGUAAAUCGUGAUGAUAAAAUACAUGUUUUUUUUUGUACAAAAACAAAAGGUCUCUUAAAAAGGUAGUUUGUGUUUUGUUAGAUGAAAAAAUGGAUCGCUACUGAUUGAUUAGAAUUACAUGACAUCAAUACUGACACUAUCGUGGUCUAAAAAUAGUAGUUAGCAGUAGGGUAUCCACUACACAGAAAUACAUAUUACACUAAACACUGGCUAAUUAUACUAUAAGAAAAUAAAAAUACACCCAAAUAAAAACACAAACACCAGUCCUCUGAUAGAGGAAGAAUUCCGGGAUAGCAGAGACCAAAGGGUUGCAAUAGCAUGGUGGUUAUCCUAACUUACUACUAUUAUAAAGACGAGGACUGCAAGUCAACAGUUCAACAAGAAGAAGAAAUAAAAGUCCUAGAGGACUCCCUAGCCUCAGCCGACAUGUCGAGAAUAAUUCUGUUAUCAAAUGAUGUCACCAGGGCCAUUAUAUACUAACCCACUUUAGCUCAACCAUUUACACCUGCUGUCAACUUCUUCUUACCAAAAUGAUAUGUAUCCAUAGUGUUUCUAACUUUUCAAGACACACACAUCCGUUAAAAGCAACAUCAUUACUAGUAUCCUGUGCUAUCGUCAUUCCAGGACCACUACUACUCUGCUUUAUAACAGAUUCAGUAGUGUGGCUGUACUGUGCUUCAGUCAUCAUCAUAGGAGAACACACUAGUCUGUUUCCAUCUGAAGUAAAACUUGAGUCUGUUGGGCUGCAUCUAACCUACUGCUGUGCUUGUUUUUAUGUUUAAAUAACCAACAACUUUGGGUAGGUCCCAAAUGGAAUCCUAUUCCCCAUUACAUAGGCAAUAAGAUGCCAUGUGGGACAAAAUAACCACUAACUACUCCCCUGAGUGUCAGACAUGCCUCCUGUUGGACUGCAAGGUUUCGUUUCUAUUUUGGACAACGUCUGGAUAGCUAACUGUCAUGACACUUUUAACACAGUGAAACUGAAGUAAAAUGGAAGGAGAACAACUCAUAGUCAUGACAGCAGAAACUGGAUUUAUGCAGUCAGAUAAAGAUGUUGAACAUUAUAUACAGUGACGUACUGGUUAAAGAAGAAAUACAAAAUCUGAAGUUUCAAGAUGCAAUGCUCUAGCUCUUUAGCAGCUGCAUUGCCAGACUACCCAUCUCCAUCAGUGCAUGCCAGGCAAGGACCCAGUGGAUUUACAAUGUUACCACAGACAGGUCGUUGCCUCACUGCAACACAGAUGCAACGUAACAGAGCGGAGAUAAAUGCCUCAAAUUAGAUGGAGAGAUGGGACUUCUUGACAAUUGCCAAUUCCAGCAACCUGUGAGAGCACUACUCCCACCCUAAACCCAACCACAACAUCAUCCUUUCACAAAGUGACUGAAAUACAUGUACCUCCCACUCCAACCCACUAAAAUAAAACAAUUACCAGUAAAAAAACAAGUCAUGGAUGAGGAAUGGUAAACAUUAC